CGUGGCCUUGUGGUUAAGACAUUGGCCUAAGAACCUGAUGGUCGUAGGUUCAAGU
RNAcentral lists this transfer RNA (55 nucleotides) under Oxyrrhis marina. RNAcentral describes it as "partial tRNA". The record is from RNAcentral. Lineage: Eukaryota; Dinophyceae; Oxyrrhinales; Oxyrrhinaceae.